Molecule: small nucleolar RNA, 244 nt
Filed under: Anneissia japonica
Lineage: Eukaryota; Metazoa; Echinodermata; Crinoidea; Comatulida; Comatulidae
Description: small nucleolar RNA SNORA53
Rfam family: Small nucleolar RNA SNORA53
About the family: The snoRNA ACA53 belongs to the H/ACA family of pseudouridylation guide snoRNAs.
Source: RNAcentral
GACACACUCCUUAGAUCCACUUCGGGGGCUCCACAUUCCAUGGCCAGCACAUCAGUUUUUAACUGGUUUCUGUCCAUGUUUUGUUGCCCAGCAACGCUUUUGUUGUUCGGUCAGAAGUGCUUGAGUCAUUAGUGUGUGACAUUGAUCUACCUCCAUUGAGUCAUUGACCAUUGUGCAGUGCCUGGCUGUCUACAUUCAGCUGAAUGUCAGUUAUCACAAUGGACACUCUUGUAAUGGGGACAAA